This 495-nucleotide ribosomal RNA is filed under the name uncultured bacterium. RNAcentral describes it as "bacterial SSU rRNA". It matches the Rfam family "Bacterial small subunit ribosomal RNA", at positions 8 to 518 of the family's 1533-position model. The record is from RNAcentral.
AGAGUUUGAUUAUGGCUCAGGAUGAACGCUGGCGGCGUGCUUAACACAUGCAAGUUGGGCGGUUCUUCCGAAUGAGACUUCGGUGGAUUUGGAAGAGAUAGCAGCGGACGGGUGAGUAAGGCACAAGGACGUGCCCUGAGGUGGGGGACAACUACGGGAAACCGUAGCUAAUACCCCGUAAGCCGAGAGGUGAAAGCAGCAAUGCGCCGAAGGAGCGACUUGUGUCCUAUCAGGUAGUUGGUGAGGCAACGGCUCACCAAGCCGAAGACGGGUAGCCGGACUGAGAGGUUGUACGGCCACAUUGGAACUGAGAGACGGUCCAGACUCCUACGGGAGGCAGCAGUGGGGAAUAUUGGGCAAUGGGCGAAAGCCUGAACCCCCAGCGACGCCGCGUGAGGGAAGACAGCCUUCGGGUUGUAAACCUCUGUUGCAGGGGAAGAAGGAAGUGACGGUACCCUGCGAGGAAGCUCCGGCUAACUACGUGCCAGCAGCCGC